GGAAGCUAAACACAUCAUAAAUACCAAAUAGAAAAGUCGAAUCGAAAGAGGACGCUAUAAACUAAGAACAGAGGAAAUAAGGCAUAAAUCAUAAGGGAUGCAAUAAACUAAAGAAAGCAAAGAAACCUCUUCCUCUAAAGCACCUGUGAAUGAGAUUUAAGAAGGAUGCAUGCGGUCAAUCCAAAAAUAACAUCUACCACCACCUAUUGCCAGAACCUUGAUAUUCAUCACAAUCAGUGAAAACUGCUUCGAGUUUUGCGGAUGCUGCAAUGGGAAGAAUUGCACAGAGUACAAAGGUUCUGACAAAAGGAGGAUAUGAGAAAAUUUUCAGACAAACCUUUGAAACUAUUCUAGAGGAGCAGCUGCAGAAUUCAUUUGCGUGCUACUUAUCAACAUCAGCUGGUCCAGUCAUGGGAGUUCUUUACGUAUCCACUACUAAACUUGCUUACUCAAGCGAUAACCCUCUCUCGUACAAAAAUUCUGGUCAAACUGAAUGGAGCUAUUAUAAGCUAAUCUUCUUUAUUUGAGACAAUCGAACUUUUUGCUAUAAAUAACUAUUGUAGAAAGCGACCUCAUAGAUGGUAGGAAUAGUGUGAAGAACGUUAGAUUCUGUGACUAAUUUCUUGUGCAGACUAUAAUAACACUGGGUAGUAAUACUUAUAUCUUCAUCAUCUUAAACAUGUAGUAAUCCCAUUACAUCAGCUUAAAUCGGUUAACCCUUCUACAAACACAGUCAAUCCUGCAGAAAGGUACAUCCAGAUAAUCUCAGUCGACGACCAUGAGUUUUGGUUCAUGUGUUUCUUAAACUACUGUGUGAUAUAAUAUUGGUGGAUUCUUGAUUAGAAUAACAUUAUUUUGGUUGCAAACUAAAUUAUUUGAUUCUUAUUCUUAAUUAGUUACCAUGUCUUGAUUAGGGUUUAGGGUUUAGGGUUUAGGGUUUAGGGUUUAGGG
This 951-nucleotide small RNA is filed under the name Arabidopsis thaliana (thale cress). RNAcentral describes it as "ATSL077060". Lineage: Eukaryota; Viridiplantae; Streptophyta; Magnoliopsida; Brassicales; Brassicaceae. The record is from RNAcentral.